GUGGAUUAGAUACCCUGGUAGUCCACGCCGUAAACGAUGUCUACUAGGUAUCGGCUGUAUCGACCCAGCCCGUGCCGAAGCUAACGCGUUAAGUAGACCGCCUGGGGAGUACGGUCGCAAGACUAAAACUCAAAGGAAUUGACGGGGGCUCGCACAAGCGGUGGAGCAUGUGGUUUAAUUCGACGGUACGCGAGGAACCUUACCAAGGCUUGACAUCCUCGGAAUCCGUGAGAAAUCAUGGAGUGCCUUUUAGGAAUCGAGAGACAGGUGCUGCAUGUCCGUCGUCAACU
This 290-nucleotide ribosomal RNA is filed under the name uncultured bacterium. Its description in RNAcentral is "partial 16S ribosomal RNA". It matches the Rfam family "Bacterial small subunit ribosomal RNA", at positions 773 to 1060 of the family's 1533-position model. The record is from RNAcentral.